GUGGGGAAUAUUGCGCAAUGGGGGAAACCCUGACGCAGCGACGCCGUGUGAGGGAAGAAGGCUUUCGGGUCGUAAACCUCUGUCAGAAAGGAAGAACCUCCCAAGUCCGAAUAGGGCUUGGGACUGACGGUACUUUCAAAGGAAGCACCGGCUAACUCCGUGCCAGCAGCCGCGGUAAUACGGAGGGUGCAAGCGUUAAUCGGAAUCACUGGGCGUAAAGCGCGCGUAGGCCGCUUUGUAAGUCGGACGUGAAAGCCCUCGGCUCAACCGGGGAGCGGCGUUCGAUACUGCGAGGCUUGAGUCCUGGAGAGGGUGGCGGAAGUCCGGGUGUAGGAGUGAAAUCCGUAGAUAUCCGGAGGAACACCGGUGGCGAAGGCGGCCACCUGGACAGGUACUGACGCUGAGGCGCGAAAGCGUGGGGAGCAAACAGGAUUAGAAACCCCUGUAGUCC
Molecule: ribosomal RNA, 451 nt
Filed under: uncultured bacterium
Lineage: Bacteria
Description: partial 16S ribosomal RNA
Rfam family: Bacterial small subunit ribosomal RNA
Source: RNAcentral